This 638-nucleotide long non-coding RNA is filed under the name Marmota monax (woodchuck). The record is from RNAcentral. Lineage: Eukaryota; Metazoa; Chordata; Mammalia; Rodentia; Sciuridae.
GAAAAGGUCUUGUUGGGUGUGAUGGUGCAGGCCUUUAAUCAACUACUCUGGAAGCUGAGGCAGGAAGAUCACAAGUUGGAGGCCAGCCAGGUUAACUUAGGGAGACCCCCAUAUCUCAAAAUAAAAAGGGCAGGGCUGAGGAUGCAGCUGAGUACUUGCUUAGUGAGUGUGAGAUUUUGGGGGUUCCAUUACAAUACCAAAGACCAAAUUAAAAUGUCUUUAUUUUCUUAAUUGAAAUAUUUAAGUAAGAAGAAGCCAAAAAAAGUAUGGCAAAGGUUAUCAGCAGCAUCAUUACUUGGACUACUGUUAAAAUACAUAUUUCAAGGGCUAACUCACAGAAAAUUUAAUUCCACAGAUUUGCUUUUGGAACAGGAACUUGAAUUUUAAAUUAACACCUGAGGAUUCUGUCAUACGUUGCCCACUGAAACACAAUUUGAAAAAUAUCCAACAUUACCUUUUCUAAAAUUUAUUGUUGCUUGUUUAUUUUUAAAUUGAGGUCCAGGCUUGUAGGUAAGAUUUUAAAUUCUAGAGGCAGUGAGUUAAAUUUUCCAUCCCAGGAAGGAGAGUCUGAAUAAUAAAAAAAAGAAACUAUUUUGCCAAAUGAAGGAGAAACCUCUGUUAUUAAGUAGUCAAUUUGA